Long non-coding RNA from Strigops habroptila (Kakapo), 1199 nucleotides. RefSeq lists it as uncharacterized. The record is from RefSeq and is a predicted model, not a curated record. Lineage: Eukaryota; Metazoa; Chordata; Aves; Psittaciformes; Psittacidae. The transcript is spliced from 2 exons.
UUAAUCCUGCCUCAUUUGGGGCACUUCUUUGUGAGAAUCCCGAAGUAGCUGAAGAUCCCUUCAAAGAAAAGCUAGUUAUAGAAAACUUAUCCCUGGCGCUCAUGUGAUCAGGUAGGUUGCAAUGAAGUUGGCAUGAAGUACCUGUCCAUCGUUCCCAAGACAUGAGCUUCUGAAAGGGAUGCGGGUACCCAAAACCACUUCCCUGGGAGCAGGGACAGCCAUCGUUCCUCCCAGGAGGCUGCAGUGUGAAGUGGUGGGAUACUGUCAGCCUUUGCAUCUCCACUGCCUCCUGCAGCUUCUCAUGCUCUUAUGGUUCAGAAGAACUUUUACAUCAAAGCUUGAAUUUUUGCUAGCUUUGUUGAUACUUCCUGUGUUCUUUGAAUAGCAGCUGUUCUGAGAUUAAGUAAACCAAUGAUUGACAGAAAACACCAGCCUCGAACCCAGAGUUUUGAGUUUAUCUUUUAAGUGGUGUGCCACAAACCAAUUUGCAAUUAACAAAUGCCCAUGUCAUCUAACAAAGCUGAAUCUGGCAGUGCGAUGUUAGUAUCUAAAAGCAGAUGCUGGUAGCUCAUGGAAACCGGUAAAUGCAUGUUAAAAAUCCCUGUUCUGGAAACCUCCUUAUUUCAAAAAAUGUUUCCACUAGGUCUAUUUGUAAGUUUGGGGCAAUUUGUGCUGCUGAUGAUGCCAUUAAAGUAUUGAAAAUGCAUUUCUGAAUGAAGUUAAUUCAUUACUUUGCAAUUCUGAGCUUCUGGAAGCAAAAGCCCACGUGGGCUGCAUGCCACUGAGAUAUGCUACACCAGUUCUCCAGUCUUCAAACCCUUCGUAAUCUUUUGUGUUUGCUGGUAGGGGCAGCCCACCCGGCAUAAAAAGGCAUGCAAACAAUUUUAACAGACAAGCAUUGUGUCGACCAAGGUUUCCAGUGUUAAACUAUCCAGAAAGAUUUAGACAAAUUUUUCCCUAUGGUAAAAUGCAUAUGUUAGUUUAAAGAUGAAGAGAAAAUGAAAUGUAUUAUUUAUAGCCUAAAAUAUCCUUAAUAUUACACAUGUGUAUUUCACUUAAUCAUCGUUUUGACAAAUGCCCACACUGCUAAACACCUAAUGUACAAUAGGAUGUGGUUCCCUAUUAAACUAGCAGAUGCUAUAGUUUCUGAUUGUUAAUGUUGGACCUGUUUGCCAAUAAAAACAACUGAUGGAUCAGCA